AUCUCACCUGGGCCUCAUCUGCAAACAAUCAGCAGGAGGGCUUCUUAAACCAGCGCUGCCUGCUACUCCUCGCCAGUUUGUUCUGCCAUCUCCAGUGCUUCUCCAGUGGGACUGAAGCCAUCCAUCCCACCAGCCAGCGGCCCUUCGGGUGAGAGGAAGGGCCCCGUCGUCAUGGCGCCUGUCAACGUGGAGCCAGCCGGGCGAGUUUGUCCUAGAAAGCUUAUUUGCCAUCUUCACCUUGCUCUCUGAACGCAAGAGCUGUAUCAUCAUGGCUGAACCACUGGAGAAGCCGCUAAACAAAUCUCUGCAGAGGAGAAGAGCCACAGUUUGACCAGCUGAUCAGCUCUAUGAGUUCUCUUGCUGGGUACUGCCUGCCAUCCAUCCUGAAGACUCUGUUCGACUGGUACAAGAGGCAAAAUGGCCUGGAGGACGAGUCCCAUGAACAUCGACCCGGGGCCAAGUCAAAAAAGAGUCUCUGUUCUCCUCCUGACCUACCUGACUCUGGAGUAGUUCCUCGUCAUCGUUUUCCCUUUUAGCAAUUUGCGCCCAGGCAAACUUCAGACAGGGGUAAGUUGCACUAGUCAUAAUAAUGUGCCUGAUGAAGGUCAUCCAACUGUUGUCUUUGUCCACAAACUAAUUAUCGCUCUUAUUUUGAAGAAAGACUGGGUUUGUGCUGCUGGAAUAUCAUCUUUAGGUUGGUGUUUAAGUGGAUCAGAAAGUGUGG
Molecule: long non-coding RNA, 724 nt
Organism: Pelmatolapia mariae (spotted tilapia)
Lineage: Eukaryota; Metazoa; Chordata; Actinopteri; Cichliformes; Cichlidae
Exons: 5
Source: RefSeq, a predicted model, not a curated record